UACGUAGGUGGCAAGCGUUGUCCGGAUUUAUUGGGCGUAAAGCGCUCGCAGGUGGUCCGCUGCGUCGCGCGUGAAAGACCCCGGCUCAACUGGGGAGUGUCGUGCGAUACGGGCGGACUGGAGGCCAGUAGGGGGAUGCUGAAUUCCGGGUGUAGUGGUGGAAUGCGUAGAGAUCGGGAGGGAUACCAGAGGCGAAGGCGACGAACUGGACAGUUACUGACACUAAACUACGAAGGCGUGGGGAGCAAACAGG
This 253-nucleotide ribosomal RNA is filed under the name uncultured bacterium. Its description in RNAcentral is "partial 16S ribosomal RNA". It matches the Rfam family "Bacterial small subunit ribosomal RNA", at positions 524 to 776 of the family's 1533-position model. The record is from RNAcentral.